This 440-nucleotide ribosomal RNA is filed under the name uncultured bacterium. RNAcentral's name for it is "partial 16S ribosomal RNA". It matches the Rfam family "Bacterial small subunit ribosomal RNA", at positions 338 to 795 of the family's 1533-position model. The record is from RNAcentral.
CCUACGGGAGGCAGCAGUAGGGAAUAUUGCUCAAUGGGGGAAACCCUGAAGCAGCAACGCCGCGUGGAGGAUGAAGGUUUUCGGAUUGUAAACUCCUUUUGUUAGAGAAGAUAAUGACGGUAUCUAACGAAUAAGCACCGGCUAACUCCGUGCCAGAAGCCGCGGUAAUACGGAGGGUGCAAGCGUUACUCAGAAUCACUGGGCGGAAAGAGCGCGUAGGCGGGAUAGCAAGUCAGAUGUGAAAUCCUAUGGCUUAACCAUAGAACUGCAUUUGAAACUGUUAUUCUAGAGUAUGGGAGAGGUAGGUUGAAUUCUUGGUGUAGGGGUAAAAUCCGUAGAGAUCAAGAGGAAUACUCAUUGCGAAGGCGACCUGCUAGAACAUAACUGACGCUGAUGCGCGAAAGCGUGGGGAGCAAACAGGAUUAGAUACCCCAGUAGUC